This 1004-nucleotide long non-coding RNA is filed under the name Homo sapiens (human). RNAcentral's name for it is "HSALNT0221063". Lineage: Eukaryota; Metazoa; Chordata; Mammalia; Primates; Hominidae. The record is from RNAcentral.
UGGGCCUAGAGCAAUUAUCUGGGUGGUGGUGGAAAGGAUGCUGGCAUUAUCUAGGUUGUGGCCCCUUGGCCUCCUGGACGGGGUAAGCCAAUAAAGAAAUUGCACUUAUUUGUGAGGUUUCCCUUGCAUUCCUCUGCUCCUGUGCACCUGACUGCUGAAGGCAUCCCCCUCAGCUUCAUCUGAAGCCCUUUCUGAGCACUAUGUGUUGAUGAAAGUGUUCUACUAAAUGCUAUAGAACUCAGCGGGAAUGGCCCAGUUAGCUCUGCUAGCACAUUCCAGGAGACUCUGGCAGACAGGUGUGGAUUUCAGCCCUGGCUAACAUGAACAAGCUCAGGUUCCUCUGCAGUAUCCUAGCCACAGUAGGAACUCUUCACAAGCUUUCUGGCUGGGAUAUUCAAGGGGAGGUUCAUCAGUGGGUGGCUUAAAGCCAAAGAUUUAUAUCAAAUUAUUCCUUAUGUCUAACUUAAGGGAAUGGAGAGACAUGAAAAGCAAGGUGGAUUUAGCACCUCUUAUUUGCAGGCAGCAGUGUACCUUCAUUUCACACUUUCUCUCACAUAAAACCCCUGUUGUCCUGUAAGAUAGGAAUCAUCUCAUUUAAUAGACUGGGAAACCAUAGCCCAGAAAGUCUUAAUAAUUUGACCAUGGUCACAUAGCUGGUAAGUGGUAUAGUCUGGUUUCAAGUAGAAGUUCAUCUGAUUCCUACCCCUGAAUGGUUUUCCCAUUCUGUUGAAGCCAUGUUGGGGCUCUAUGGAAUAUUUUUGGUGCCUGAGGCAUUAAUAUGCCUAUCUGUAUAAGAUGAGGUGUGGUGUCCAGAUGAAGAGGAUACCCCUGGGUAGCCCAUUUCUUUAUGAAGCAGAGAUCCCAGUUUGAGCCUUACUGCUACUCACCCUAGGAUUCGGGUAUGGCUGGUGGAAGGUUGGGGAGGCUCUAGGGUGCUUCCUGGGAAAGCCCUCCUCUGAAAAGACUGAGUCCUGGGGAGAGACAGAAUAAGAUGGCUAGUAAAU